UCCACACACCUCCAUGAUAAGGACUGUCAUUGGGUCCAUGGAAAUGAACAUAGAAAUCUUGCAUGCCAUCAUUUAUCAUCUCAACUUUGUAGUCACUCAUCAUCAAUUUCAUCAAGUCCAUGUCUCUGCGUUUGCUUGGUGACGACAUGGUUUCCUUCUUCCAACUUCGUUCGCUUUUCGUUCACCGCUUCAGAGGGAGAGUCUGAGAAAAAAAAAAA
RNAcentral lists this unclassified non-coding RNA (218 nucleotides) under Hevea brasiliensis (rubber tree). Lineage: Eukaryota; Viridiplantae; Streptophyta; Magnoliopsida; Malpighiales; Euphorbiaceae. The record is from RNAcentral.